Molecule: non-coding RNA, 73 nt
Organism: Baffinella frigidus
Lineage: Eukaryota; Cryptophyceae; Cryptomonadales; Baffinellaceae
Source: the annotation of a GenBank genome assembly
GCCCCUGUGGCCUAGGUGGUAAGGGAGGCAGCCCAUCAGCCGGAGGUCCCGAGUUCGAACCUCGGGGUGGGGA